RNAcentral lists this ribosomal RNA (875 nucleotides) under Orceolina kerguelensis. RNAcentral's name for it is "SSU rRNA". It matches the Rfam family "Bacterial small subunit ribosomal RNA", at positions 1 to 1249 of the family's 1533-position model. The record is from RNAcentral. Lineage: Eukaryota; Fungi; Ascomycota; Lecanoromycetes; Trapeliales; Trapeliaceae.
CGUACAGCGCAAGCUGAUUGCACAGUCUUUUUUAUUAAGACAAUAUUAAGUUUAUAUAUCUAAUAUGUAUAUUAAGAUAUAUAUCUAAAAUCUAUAUCAACAUAUAUAUAUUGGAUAUAAAUUUAGUUGUGCAAGAUCAACUAUGUUGAAUAAAGUUCUAGUUAGAAUUAUGAUAAUGACAUUUUCUAACUAUGUGUCUUGACCAAAACACGUGCCAGCAGUCGCGGUAAGACGUGAAAGACUAGUGUUAUUCAUCUUUAUUUGGUUUAAAGGGUACUUAGACGGUUAAUAAAGCCCGCUAGGGUACUAAUUGACUAGAGUUUUAUGUGAGAAGGGGAGUACGAGAGAGUGGAGAGAUGAAAUUUGAUGAUACCUUACUCGGACUGGCAACGGCGAAGGCAACCUUUUAUGUAAAAACUGACGUUGAAGGACGAAGGCUUAGGGCACAAAUAGGAUUAGAUACCCUAGUAGUCUAAGCAGUAAACGAUGAAUGUCAUAGAUUAGAUUUAUAAUUUGGUCUAUAAAUGAAAAUGUAAGCAUUCCACCUCAAGAGUAAUGUGGCAACGCAGGAACUGAAAUCAUUAGACCGUUUCUGAAAACAGUAGUGAAGUAUGUUGUUUAAUUUGUUGGCUCGCAAAAAACCUUACCACAGUCUGAAUAGAUAUUUAAAUAUCUUACAAGCGCUGCACGGCUGUUUUCAGUUAAUGUCGCGAGAUAUUGGUUAGGUCCAUUAAAUUAACGUAAACCCUUACUUUAUUUUUUAUUAUAAAGUAGUUCACCGAUAUAAUGGUAAUGAUAAAAGGGAAUAAUACAAGUCAAUAUGGCCUUAGCAUUGUGGGCUAUAAACGUGCCACAUAAGCCUGUACAAAGGGAUG